Molecule: small nuclear RNA, 127 nt
Organism: Oryctolagus cuniculus (rabbit)
Lineage: Eukaryota; Metazoa; Chordata; Mammalia; Lagomorpha; Leporidae
Gene: U2
Rfam family: U2 spliceosomal RNA
About the family: U2 is a small nuclear RNA (snRNA) component of the spliceosome (involved in pre-mRNA splicing).
Source: Ensembl
AUCGCUUCUUGGCCUUUUGGCUAAGAUCAAGUGUAGUUUUGAGUGGAAUUUAGUAGUAAAGCUAUACCUUCCUUAUAACUUAGUGCUUAUUGACGAGAGCUGUUAAAUUCAUUUUUUUAAACUCUUC